Long non-coding RNA from Syngnathus acus (greater pipefish), 2669 nucleotides. RefSeq lists it as uncharacterized. NCBI's taxonomy places the organism in Eukaryota, Metazoa, Chordata, Actinopteri, Syngnathiformes, Syngnathidae. The transcript has 2 exons. The record is from RefSeq and is a predicted model, not a curated record.
GUUCGCCAUCAUAAGAUGACUUUUUGUCUAUGAAACGAAAAAACGGCAGUCCGGUGCAGAUCACCACUCCGGAGCUGGGAUGGAUGACAACGGCGCUAAAGCUUACGGGCGCACGGGCUGAAAAAGCUUCAGUCAAGACCAAACAACCCUCGGAGCGCAUCCUCACUGAUGGCCUCUGGACGAUCAAUUUUGUUUCCCAAGAUGAGGACGGGCACAGUGGAGAUGGUCUCAUCUGUCAAAAGCGCCUGAGCACAGAAGAGGAAGAGUCACAUUUCAACAAAUGUUGUGACGUAAAGGCCAAGAAAGGUAAGGUUCAAACUCACAUCCAGCUCCACUUUAGCUUCAGCUAGUCGCUCACGAUCAGCACAGUCCACCAUGUAGACGAUGCCGUUUAUGGCUGGGAGGUAGUUUUUCCAAAUGCGUCGUGCUAGGACAAAUUUAAAAAAAAAAAAAGCAAAAUCUUUUUAGUUCAAAAUUGCCAGAUGACCAAACAGCAGCCCUCUUCUCCUUUACCUUGUGUGUGACCGCCCAGGUCAAAUGUGGUAAAUGUCAUUCCAGCAAUGGUGAGCUCCUCAGAUGCUGAACACAGACAAAGUGGCAUGAGAUUAUUGAAAUAGAGUAAGGAUAGAUAAUAAGAAGGAAUGGAUAGAUAUACAGAUAGGAUAGGUAAAUAGCUACUUGGGUGCAGCGUGGGCACAUGCUGGCCCAGCCUGUCAUCUCUGAGCAUGUGCAGUAGUGUCGUUUUGCCGGCAUUGUCUAAUCCGAGAAACACCAGCUUGCCGGAUUUCUUGUACAGUCCUGCACAGUCAGAAAAGGUUUUUUUUUCAGUUGCUGAUCAUCAAACAUACUAUUCCUGACUUGCAUGAAAAAUACACUGGAACAUCCAGAUUUAAUAACUUAAAGCACUUAAAUGAAAUAAUAGCACUUAAAUGAAAUAAACUGGAAGUUGAUAGAACAAAUUGUGGGAAACAAUACCUAACAACUGCAGCACGCCACUGAAGCCUCUGUAGAUCCAGUUAAAAAUAAAAGACAUGGUGCUCGACUGCCUGUAAUGCAGAUAAGCAUAAAUUAAUCACACGAUGUAAAACAAAGCAAAAAAAAGUCAAAAAUAUUGCUGACUGUAUUGCAAAAUCACCAAGUAGGCCGCUUUCUUCUUGAGCCUUAAUGCUACUGGUAUGUGUAAGCUGUAAGAAAGAUAAAAAUAAAUCUUUCCUUGUACUGAUUGUUAUUGUUAGUCUAUUUUUGUCAUUUUACAUCUUACAGCACUAGAGCCGCAAUUGUUGUCAAAAUUCUCUAUGGAUAAAGUUGUGUUGAGUUAAAAAUCACAGAUACCCAAAAACUAAAAUAAAGUGAGUUUUUGUUUCGCUGACUUCCCAGACAUACACAUGCGGAUCAUCCCUGGACUAUUUUUGUUAUGACAAGUUGUAGCAAGGACACUUGAUCUCCACAAGGGUCUCUGUCACACAUGCACACACCUGUCAGUCACCCUGUUUGCAACUCUCUGGGCUUAAUGUACUGCGUAUGAGGGCCUCAUUUGAGGAAAAUAGAACGAAAUUUUGUUUCAAAUUCCACAACGUUAAAGGCCUCCCACGUAAAGGUUACAAUAAAUUCGUCAUUAUUUUCCGAUUUAAGAGCUUUUGUUGAUAGAUAUGUUUUAUUUAAUGACGUCGCGAAGCAGUUUUCAACUCUUAUUUAGUGAAAGCCGCCGACUUUAGGUCAUCGUACGAGAACAGAUGUAACAAACGUUUAGCCGCCCCAAAGUAAACAAUAACAAUCUUUUAAGUAAACAAGCGAGCAGAAAAGUCUCGAAAGAAAAAAACUAAUUUCAAGACGGGUCGUCACAUUGAUGGUAACUGACGCUACCGAGUGCAAGUUGGUCAAUAAUUACCUUGUUCCGACCGAUUUAUGAUGCCACUGUCCGCUGUCCUGUCAGAUGUAAAGCACUACGCAAGUUUGACAUUUAACCGGAAGUACGUCAUCACGCUAGCCUGUUUGAUGCUAGCUCACCAUGUUAACCGCCUCGAUUAAAAAUAGAUAAAAUAGAUAAGAAUACGGAAUGUAGUCUCUAAAUAUGAUUUAUUUUCAGCUAUAGAAGUUCAUCAUCGUAUUAAUACAUUUUCUAUUUUUUAGUUCGUCUCAUAUAAUACGGUAUCGUUUGAUGUAAUAUGCAAACAAAGUUUUGAUGAAAUUCACGAUAAAGUCAUACAAUACAACAUAACAUAGAAAAAAUACAUAACAUUCAAAUUUUAAAUGCAGGACUACCCAAAACUAAUUUGUAGAGUCAUAAUGCCCAAAUAUUAUGAUGCAAACAUUUUAAUUAUAUUUCUUUCGUUUGAUUUUAUUUAUUUGAAUGAUGUAUUAAAAGCAAAGACGACGUGUGAGAAAAUGUUGCUUUGUAUUACAGCACCAGUUAGAGCACGUAUAAAUAUUUUGCCCUGCAAUCAGUUGUUCUUGUAAUUUUCAAUCUUUAGCGUCACACCAAGUGCGGGUAAUACAUCUGCAUUUUUUCUUACCUUAUUUGGUCACGCGAGAAUUGCAAAAUAUUACAAGUAAAAGUAGAAGUAAAAAUCAAUUUAAAAAAAAUACACUAUGUAUAUGCAGUGACGUGCAUUUUUAUUGUGAACACGGGGUGGCACCAUUACACCGCCACCACAUUCAAAUGUGCGCGU